UAACGAAUCUUCCCCAAUGCACGCAAGUGUGAGGGAGCGACGCCGCGUGUGGGACGAAGUCCUUCGGGAUGUAAACCACUGUCAGGGGAUACCAAGUUCUGAGGAUCCCCAGAGGAAGGGGCGGCUAACUCUGUGCCAGCAGCCGCGGUAAGACAGAGGCCCCGAGCGUUAGGCGGAAUCACUGGGCUUAAAGCGUGUGUAGGCGGAUCGUUAAGUGUCUUGUGAAAUCCCACGGCUCACCCGUGGAACUGCUGGGCAUACUGGCGAUCUUGGGCCGUUCAGGGGCGACUGGAACAAGCGGUGGAGCGGUGAAAUGCGUAGAUAUCGCUUGGAACGCCGAAGGUGAAAACAGGUCGCUGGGGACGCGCCGACGCUGAGACACGAAAGCCAGGGGAGCAAACGGGAUUAGAUACCCCGGUAGUCCUGGCCCUAAACGAUGUCCACUAGAUCGCGGCGGGGGUUGACCCCGUCGCGGUCGGAGCAAAAGUGUAAGUGGACCG
This 500-nucleotide ribosomal RNA is filed under the name uncultured bacterium. Its description in RNAcentral is "bacterial SSU rRNA". It matches the Rfam family "Bacterial small subunit ribosomal RNA", at positions 355 to 871 of the family's 1533-position model. The record is from RNAcentral.